Long non-coding RNA from Sander lucioperca (pikeperch), 444 nucleotides. RefSeq lists it as uncharacterized. The record is from RefSeq and is a predicted model, not a curated record. The transcript has 3 exons. Lineage: Eukaryota; Metazoa; Chordata; Actinopteri; Perciformes; Percidae.
ACCAGAGGUUUUCAUGUCACGUGACAUACGUAACGACGUAAUCCCAUGACCUUGCAUCGUUCGUUCUGAGUUUUGCUGCUGUCCGCAAAUACCUCGCUUCGAUGAAGACGGCGUUUGGUUUUUCAAGGAAACUUGUUUAAACAAGGUUUGCUGUUUCCUGAAAAGGUCACAAUUUUAGCCAUAUUACUGAAUUUGAUCCUUUUUGAUGGGCGGACAUGGCAGUGAAAAAGCUAGCCAAGUUGCGAGUUGUUUUGAAUCCUGAUGACACCAGGAAGCUAAUUCUGCCUGAUGGAAUUCAGGCAGAAUUCCAGAGUUAAUGGAGCAGCUUAUGGAUGAAGUCUGGAAAGUGUGUGGGUUAAAUGGGAAUUUCAGACUGCAGUACCAAGACAGAGACUUUGGAGAUGCGCUAGUGAACUUGACAUCUACUGCUGAACUUGAGGAUUU